CCUACGGGAGGCAGCAGUGGGGAAUAUUGCACAAUGGGCGAAAGCCUGAUGCAGCGACGCCGCGUGAGGGACGACGGCCUUCGGGUUGUAAACCUCUUUCAGCAGGGACGAAGCGCAAGUGACGGUACCUGCAGAAGAAGCACCGGCUAACUACGUGCCAGCAGCCGCGGUAAUACGUAGGGUGCAAGCGUUGUCCGGAAUUACUGGGCGUAAAGAGUUCGUGGGCGGUUUGUCACGUCGUUUGUGAAAACUCACAGCUCAACUGUGAGCCUGCAGGCGAUACGGGCAGACUUGAGUACUGCAGGGGAGACUGGAAUUCCUGGUGUAGCGGUGAAAUGCGCAGAUAUCAGGAGGAACACCGGUGGCGAAGGCGGGUCUCUGGGCAGUAACUGACGCUGAGGAACGAAAGCGUGGGUAGCGAACAGGAUUAGAUACCCUGGUAGUCCACGCCGUAAACGGUGGGCGCUAGGUGUGGGUUCCUUCCACGGAAUCCGUGCCGUAGCUAACGCAUUAAGCGCCCGCUGGGGAUCGGCCGCAAGGCUAAAACUCAAAGGAAUUGACGGCNGAGACGNGCGAGACGACGACGAGGGAGAG
This 594-nucleotide ribosomal RNA is filed under the name uncultured bacterium. RNAcentral's name for it is "bacterial SSU rRNA". It matches the Rfam family "Bacterial small subunit ribosomal RNA", at positions 338 to 946 of the family's 1533-position model. The record is from RNAcentral.